GAUCCUGGCUCAGGAUGAACGCUAGCUACAGGCUUAACACAUGCAAGUCGAGGGGAAACGAUAGAGAAAGCUUGCUUUUUCUAGGCGUCGACCGGCGCACGGGUGAGUAACGCGUAUCCAACCUGCCCACCACUUGGGGAUAACCUUGCGAAAGUAAGACUAAUACCCAAUGACGUCUCUAGAAGACAUCUGAAGGAGAUUAAAGAUUUAUCGGUGAUGGAUGGGGAUGCGUCUGAUUAGCUUGUUGGCGGGGUAACGGCCCACCAAGGCGACGAUCAGUAGGGGUUCUGAGAGGAAGGCCCCCCACAUUGGAACUGAGACACGGUCCAAACUCCUACGGGAGGCAGCAGUGAGGAAUAUUGGUCAAUGGACGAGAGUCUGAACCAGCCAAGUAGCGUGAAGGAUGACUGCCCUAUGGGUUGUAAACUUCUUUUAUACGGGAAUAAAGUGAGGCACGUGUGCCUUUUUGUAUGUACCGUAUGAAUAAGGAUCGGCUAACUCCGUG
Molecule: ribosomal RNA, 505 nt
Filed under: uncultured bacterium
Lineage: Bacteria
Description: bacterial SSU rRNA
Rfam family: Bacterial small subunit ribosomal RNA
Source: RNAcentral